This 460-nucleotide ribosomal RNA is filed under the name uncultured bacterium. RNAcentral's name for it is "partial 16S ribosomal RNA". It matches the Rfam family "Bacterial small subunit ribosomal RNA", at positions 338 to 795 of the family's 1533-position model. The record is from RNAcentral.
CCUACGGUGUGCAGCAGUGAGGAAUAUUGGUCAAUGGGCGCGAGCCUGAACCAGCCAAGUAGCGUGAAGGAUGACUGCCCUACGGGUUGUACACUUCUUUUAUAAAGGACUCACGUGAGGCACGUGUGCCUUUUUGUAUGUACUUUAUGAAUAAGGAUCGGCUAACUCCGUGCCCGCAGCCGCGGUAAUACGGAGGAUCCGAGCGUUAUCCGGAUUUAUUGGGUUUAAAGGGAGCGUAGAUGGGUUGUUAAGUCAGUUGUGAAAGUUUGCGGCUCAACCGUAAAAUUGCAAUUGAUACUGGCAGUCGUGAGGACAGUUGAGGUAGGCGGAAUUCGUGGUGUAGCGGUGAAAUGCUUAGAUAUCACGAAGAACUCCGAUUGCGAAGGCAGCUUACUAAACUGCCACUGACAUUGAUGCUCGAAAGUGUGGGUAUCAAACAGGAUUAGAUACCCGAGUAGUC